RNAcentral lists this ribosomal RNA (196 nucleotides) under uncultured bacterium. RNAcentral's name for it is "partial 16S ribosomal RNA". It matches the Rfam family "Bacterial small subunit ribosomal RNA", at positions 1305 to 1500 of the family's 1533-position model. The record is from RNAcentral.
CUGCAACUCGCCUGCAUGAAGUUGGAAUUGCUAGUAAUCGCGAAUCAGAAUGUCGCGGUGAAUACGUUCCCGGGCCUUGUACACACCGCCCGUCACACCAUGAGAGUCGAUAACACCCGAAGCCUGUGAGCUAACCGUAAGGAGGCAGCAGUCGAAGGUGGGGUUGAUGAUUGGGGUGAAGUCGUAACAAGGUAUC